UACGGAGGGUGCAAGCGUUAUCCGGAUUCACUGGGUUUAAAGGGUGCGUAGGAGGACAGGUAAGUCAGUGGUGAAAUCUCCGAGCUUAACUUGGAAACUGCCGUUGAUACUAUCUGCCUUGAAUAUUGUGGAGGUGAGCGGAAUAUGUCAUGUAGCGGUGAAAAUGCUUAGAUAUGACAUAGAACACCAAUUGCGAAGGCAGCUCGCUACACAUAUAUUGACUCUGAGGCACGAAAGCGUGGGGAUCAAACAGG
Molecule: ribosomal RNA, 254 nt
Filed under: uncultured bacterium
Lineage: Bacteria
Description: partial 16S ribosomal RNA
Rfam family: Bacterial small subunit ribosomal RNA
Source: RNAcentral